RNAcentral lists this ribosomal RNA (253 nucleotides) under uncultured bacterium. RNAcentral describes it as "partial 16S ribosomal RNA". It matches the Rfam family "Bacterial small subunit ribosomal RNA", at positions 524 to 776 of the family's 1533-position model. The record is from RNAcentral.
UACGUAGGGUGCGAGCGUUAAUCGGAAUUACUGGGCGUAAAGCGUGCGCAGGCGGUUCGUUAAGUCCGAUGUGAAAGCCCCGGGCUCAACCUGGGAACUGCAUUUGAAACUGGCGGGCUUGAGUAUGGCAGAGGGGGGUGGAAUUCCGCGUGUAGCAGUGAAAUGCGUAGAGAUGCGGAGGAACACCGAUGGCGAAGGCAGCCCCCUGGGCCAACACUGACGCUCAGGCACGAAAGCGUGGGGAGCAAACAGG